This is a long non-coding RNA of Lolium rigidum, 1366 nucleotides long. RefSeq lists it as uncharacterized. The record is from RefSeq and is a predicted model, not a curated record. The transcript has 8 exons. Lineage: Eukaryota; Viridiplantae; Streptophyta; Magnoliopsida; Poales; Poaceae.
CAGGCCACGAAGGGUGGUCAAUAAUCCAUUUAGGUGACUCAUCGAACCCCAAUUUGACCGCUCACAUCGCUCCUUGACACGAAGGCUUGCUUCCCUUUCUUGUUUUUGGUGGCGUCUAUAGCGAAGAAGACCUCCGCGAAUGAGGGAGAGUCGAGCAUUGUGGCGGCCACGUACUCGUGGCUGCUUAGAUACUACAACAAGCCUGCAAGAGCACCGCCCAGGUAUAGAAGCUGUUACCAAUAGCAGGUAACAACCAGACGAUGGUAUGUUGCUGGGGACACGAUAAGAAGAGGAUGUGGGGAAAAAGGGGCACUAGGGGCUGUGCUAGUGUUGUGGUGGACAUGACACCACACCACCAACUCCUAGUCAUUCUCUGAGCAACAGUGUCGUGGUGGAUGAGCUCCAUGAACCCAGCAAUGGAAGAGUAGAGUAGAGGAUUGAGGAAGCAUUGAGCAAUUAUAGUGCAUGGACAGAGAUACCAUCAGUACAAGAUAAUCAUGUUGGUGUAGGAUUUCCAACUUAUGAAUGAAGAGUGUUGGCUACAAUGGUAUCUCUUAUCUAUUACUAGUGGGCAUGCUAACUCGGUCACACCGAAACAGAAUCACCUUCUAAUCUUUGCAAAGCUCCCCUUGGUGGUGUCUAUAGCGAAGAAGACCUUCCCGAACGAGGGAGAGUCGGGCAUUGUGGCGGCCAAGUACUCGUGGCUGCUUAGAUACUACAACGAGCCUACAAGAGCACCUUCCAGAAUGAUGCACCCUGGAGCCCAACACAGGUCUCCUGCACAGCCGUCGUUGUCUUAAAUGUGCGCUGGUCUCAAACAACACCUCCCCACACAGCUUGUAGCUGCUGUGAGCGUAUCCCACUGAGGGAUCCGGCGCUGCUGCUGGGCUGACUGUGGCCCACCAUGCUUCGUGUGAAUAGGUAGGCUUGGCUGUCCCUAGGCUUUGCCUACCUCAUCGUCGUUGUGCUGCAACCGCGGUGGCGGUCCUGUGUCAGCCUUGGCUGGACCCCUCUCCGGUACAGAAGCUGUGACCAAUAGUAACUUGGCUAAGCCUGGGACUGGGAGGAGCUAUAGCAGGUAACAACCAGACGAUGGUAUGUUGCUGGGGACACGAUCAGAAGAUGAGGUGAGGAAAAAGGGGCACUAGGGUCUCUGCCAGUGUUGUCGUGCACAUGGCACCACACCACCACCUCCUACUCAUUCUCUGAAGCAACAGUGUCGUGGUGAUGAGCUCCAUGGACCCAACAAUGGAAGGGCAGAGUAGAGGAUUGAGGAAGCAUUGAGCAAUUAUAGUGCACGAACAGAGAUACCAUCAUUACAAGAUUACCAUGUUGGUGUAGGAUUUCCAACUGAUGAAUGAAGAGG